This 1464-nucleotide ribosomal RNA is filed under the name Staphylococcus aureus. RNAcentral's name for it is "bacterial SSU rRNA". It matches the Rfam family "Bacterial small subunit ribosomal RNA". The record is from RNAcentral. Lineage: Bacteria; Bacillati; Bacillota; Bacilli; Caryophanales; Staphylococcaceae.
UUUAUGGAGAGUUUGAUCCUGGCUCAGGAUGAACGCUGGCGGCGUGCCUAAUACAUGCAAGUCGAGCGAACGGACGAGAAGCUUGCUUCUCUGAUGUUAGCGGCGGACGGGUGAGUAACACGUGGAUAACCUACCUAUAAGACUGGGAUAACUUCGGGAAACCGGAGCUAAUACCGGAUAAUAUUUUGAACCGCAUGGUUCAAAAGUAAAAGACGGUCUUGCUGUCACUUAUAGAUGGAUCCGCGCUGCAUUAGCUAGUUGGUAAGGUAACGGCUUACCAAGGCAACGAUGCAUAGCCGACCUGAGAGGGUGAUCGGCCACACUGGAACUGAGACACGGUCCAGACUCCUACGGGAGGCAGCAGUAGGGAAUCUUCCGCAAUGGGCGAAAGCCUGACGGAGCAACGCCGCGUGAGUGAUGAAGGUCUUCGGAUCGUAAAACUCUGUUAUUAGGGAAGAACAUAUGUGUAAGUAACUGUGCACAUCUUGACGGUACCUAAUCAGAAAGCCACGGCUAACUACGUGCCAGCAGCCGCGGUAAUACGUAGGUGGCAAGCGUUAUCCGGAAUUAUUGGGCGUAAAGCGCGCGUAGGCGGUUUUUUAAGUCUGAUGUGAAAGCCCACGGCUCAACCGUGGAGGGUCAUUGGAAACUGGAAAACUUGAGUGCAGAAGAGGAAAGUGGAAUUCCAUGUGUAGCGGUGAAAUGCGCAGAGAUAUGGAGGAACACCAGUGGCGAAGGCGACUUUCUGGUCUGUAACUGACGCUGAUGUGCGAAAGCGUGGGGAUCAAACAGGAUUAGAUACCCUGGUAGUCCACGCCGUAAACGAUGAGUGCUAAGUGUUAGGGGGUUUCCGCCCCUUAGUGCUGCAGCUAACGCAUUAAGCACUCCGCCUGGGGAGUACGACCGCAAGGUUGAAACUCAAAGGAAUUGACGGGGACCCGCACAAGCGGUGGAGCAUGUGGUUUAAUUCGAAGCAACGCGAAGAACCUUACCAAAUCUUGACAUCCUUUGACAACUCUAGAGAUAGAGCCUUCCCCUUCGGGGGACAAAGUGACAGGUGGUGCAUGGUUGUCGUCAGCUCGUGUCGUGAGAUGUUGGGUUAAGUCCCGCAACGAGCGCAACCCUUAAGCUUAGUUGCCAUCAUUAAGUUGGGCACUCUAAGUUGACUGCCGGUGACAAACCGGAGGAAGGUGGGGAUGACGUCAAAUCAUCAUGCCCCUUAUGAUUUGGGCUACACACGUGCUACAAUGGACAAUACAAAGGGCAGCGAAACCGCGAGGUCAAGCAAAUCCCAUAAAGUUGUUCUCAGUUCGGAUUGUAGUCUGCAACUCGACUACAUGAAGCUGGAAUCGCUAGUAAUCGUAGAUCAGCAUGCUACGGUGAAUACGUUCCCGGGUCUUGUACACACCGCCCGUCACACCACGAGAGUUUGUAACACCCGAAGCCGGUGGAGUAACCUUUUAG